AGGGGUAGAAGAUUGAGCUGUGUUAAGAGAAACAGAGAAACCUUGCCACAUGUCAGCCUUGAUUUCAUUGGAGACAAUGUUGAUGUGAAUCCAGAAUGUCUCAGGUGAAAUUAACAAAGUUAUCCUGGUGUCACAAUGUGUGUGCUCAGCAGCUUUAGGAAAUUCAUCUUCAUUUGGAAAAGGAAUGUGUGGAUUAAGUCUGCAGAUAGCCUAGGAAAAAGAAGGAUGCUGUUUCAAAACAUGGUAUAACAGAGGGAAAGAUGUGCAUAGAAGAUCCCUUGAAUGGCCCUAACUUUUGAAUGUCUGUUUGUUUUUCUAUCACAUUAUAUUUAAAACUCAGAGGAAACAGAGCAGCAGUUCAACAUUUUCCUGCUGUUAUGCACCACUAGAGGCCAUCAUAUACCUCCUUAAAUAUUAGAUCUUUACUGUUAUGAAAAUAGGGAUUUUCUGCCCAUGCUUUGGAGUCCAGAUCGACAUGAUUGCUGAGAAGGCGAGUCUCUAAAAAAAGGUCUGCUUCUCUCCUUGGGGACAAGCAAUACCAUAAGGAACCAUAGGUGGCUUUUAAAGAAAUCUGCUUGAUUGUGCCUUGGAACAUUUAUAUUUCUGCAUUACCUGCUUUUCAUGACCACCUGCAUUCAGACCACCCAGUCCAGAUGGAAAAGAGUGUGGUGUGGACAACUUCCUUGGUCACAUUGUGAGUGUCCUGAUGCAAGGCCUGCUCUCAGGACUCGUUUGGGCCAAAAUGGUGCGGGUCCGAUCUGCAGGGCUUCUGCACACAAACUGGCACAUCAGUGUGUCUUUCUGCUGUGCCAAUUUAUCAGUUUAAUGUUUGCUAACUCCAAAAGGACUGAACCACAAUUCACUGUACAGUGCAGACAUGUGAUUUUGAGCGUGUUGCUUUCCAUCUUUGUGACUCAAUUUCCCACCUGGGAGAUGUUGAUAACAAUGCUAAUGUGUCUCAUUAUUGUCUUGCCUAUUUAAACUGUAAGCUCUCCAGGGCAAGGGCUGUCUCAUACCAUAUGUCUUCACAGAGACAGGCAGAAUGAGGCACUGAUUGCAUUUGGGGUCUCCUGGUGCCACAAUAAUUAAAAGAGAGACAAUAAUAUUAAAAAGCAAGAGAAGGGAGAGG
Molecule: long non-coding RNA, 1129 nt
Organism: Hirundo rustica (Barn swallow)
Lineage: Eukaryota; Metazoa; Chordata; Aves; Passeriformes; Hirundinidae
Exons: 5
Source: RefSeq, a predicted model, not a curated record